RNAcentral lists this ribosomal RNA (630 nucleotides) under Alternaria sp. IA202. RNAcentral's name for it is "eukaryotic LSU rRNA". It matches the Rfam family "Eukaryotic large subunit ribosomal RNA", at positions 1 to 643 of the family's 3401-position model. Lineage: Eukaryota; Fungi; Ascomycota; Dothideomycetes; Pleosporales; Pleosporaceae. The record is from RNAcentral.
UUUUGACCUCGGAUCAGGUAGGGAUACCCGCUGAACUUAAGCAUAUCAAUAAGCGGAGGAAAAGAAACCAACAGGGAUUGCCCUAGUAACGGCGAGUGAAGCGGCAACAGCUCAAAUUUGAAAUCUGGCUCUUUUAGAGUCCGAGUUGUAAUUUGCAGAGGGCGCUUUGGCUUUGGCAGCGGUCCAAGUUCCUUGGAACAGGACGUCACAGAGGGUGAGAAUCCCGUACGUGGUCGCUGGCUAUUGCCGUGUAAAGCCCCUUCGACGAGUCGAGUUGUUUGGGAAUGCAGCUCUAAAUGGGAGGUACAUUUCUUCUAAAGCUAAAUAUUGGCCAGAGACCGAUAGCGCACAAGUAGAGUGAUCGAAAGAUGAAAAGCACUUUGGAAAGAGAGUCAAACAGCACGUGAAAUUGUUGAAAGGGAAGCGCUUGCAGCCAGACUUGCUUGCAGUUGCUCAUCCGGGCUUUUGCCCGGUGCACUCUUCUGUAGGCAGGCCAGCAUCAGUUUGGGCGGUAGGAUAAAGGUCUCUGUCACGUACCUCUCUUCGGGGAGGCCUUAUAGGGGAGGCGACAUACUACCAGCCUGGACUGAGGUCCGCGCAUCUGCUAGGAUGCUGGCGUAAUGGCUGUAA